CUCUCUCUCUGAAAAUAAAUAAGCAUUAAAAAAAUAAAAUUCUGUGGGUACCAACACAGAAAUUAUGGAUGCAAGAUUAAUCUGAAUUUUGCUACACACUUUGGAAAGCAUGAAGUUCUCAUUACACGUAACUGAUUUUUGAAGUCUUACCAGAUGUCCAUCUCAACCCAUCAACAACAGCUUGCAGAUAUUUUCUAAGAUCAGAGGAUCUCAGGAAAGUCCCUGUGACAGUGAAAACCUGGUACUGAUUGUUGAUGGGUCCAUCUUCACCACCAGCAUGAAGCUCUCAAAGGUAUAUAGAUUUCUUUUUUAUUUUUGUAGGAACCGCACUUACUGGUCCCUAAAAUGCAUAUAUUUAACCCAUGGCCACUUUGGUGGUUAGAUUGGGAUAUGGUUCAUCCUUAUCAAGAGUGAAUACAAAUCCAUAAUAACCUUCCACUUGAAGAUAGGUAACUCUUCUUGGAGAGAAGACUUUGCCUUGGUCCAACACUGAUAAAAAUGAAAAUAUGUUAAAAAUUGGACCAACCAUAUGUUUAUCUUUCCACUAAACCAUAUUUUCCUUGCAUACACAGCUAUCACAAGAGAGGAAGAGAAUGGGGAGAAAAUUGAAAUUUACACCAGCAUGGUUGAGCC
This 633-nucleotide long non-coding RNA is filed under the name Felis catus (domestic cat). Its description in RNAcentral is "lncRNA (ENSFCAG00000048486.1)". The record is from RNAcentral. Lineage: Eukaryota; Metazoa; Chordata; Mammalia; Carnivora; Felidae.